AAUCAACGCUGGCGGCGUGCCUAACACAUGCAAGUCGAACGCGAAAGUCCCGCAAGGGAUGAGUAGAGUGGCAAACGGGUGAGUAACGCGUGGGUGACCUGCCUUCGAGCGGGGGAUAACGUUCCGAAAGGGACGCUAAUACCACAUAACAUCCUGCCUUUUAAGAGGUGGAGAUCAAAGCCGGGGAUCGCAAGACCUAGCACUUGAAGAGGGGCCCGCGUCUGAUUAGCUAGUUGGNGAGGUAACGGCUCACCAAAGGCGACGAUCAGUAUCCGGCCUGAGAGGGCGGACGGACACACUGGGACUGAGACACGGCCCAGACUCCUACGGGAGGCAGCAGUGGGGAAUUGUUCGCAAUGGGCGCAAGCCUGACGACGCAACGCCGCGUGGAGGAUGAAGACCUGGUC
Molecule: ribosomal RNA, 407 nt
Filed under: uncultured bacterium
Lineage: Bacteria
Description: bacterial SSU rRNA
Rfam family: Bacterial small subunit ribosomal RNA
Source: RNAcentral